GGAGGAACGAACGCGUCAUUGACCCUCCUCUAGCGCUGCUUCUCCUCCUCCAGGCUCCGGCGUUCCUGCUCACCUCCCUCCUCCGGUCUUCACAUGAAUCAUCUAAAAACGAUCUAAGCAGCCUCUCCAGAUCCCCUUCCUAUCCAACGUUUGAAUCUACCUUGCCCAAACACGCUGCAAUCAACCUUUCAUGAGGAGGACUUUACAAUCUCAGUUUGCACGCCCGGACCAAACAACGAUGGAUGAUGUGGUGGAGAACAUGGUGUGAAGGUAGUUUAUUUCAGCUAGGGGGGCCUCCAUUGUUGGUGAAGCUGCAAAAAAAUUGACUAUUCCAGGUAUGCAAGGAACAAGGAUGGAAUAGGUUUUUUAUUUUCAAGAUUUUUAUGUUGUGCAUCUGGCAAUCUGAAACUUGGUCUCUAAUCAGCAAGUACAUACAGCCUAGGGUUUUGUUUUGUUGUCCUUUAGUGAAGUGCGUCAUUUGGUUUCUGGCCUGUCAAGAUAGAUAUUUGUAGGGUUGUUAAGUUAGAUUGGUUGUUUAUGUGCCGUCCAGUUAAGGGAUUCAGUUCGCCAAAUAUUGGGACGUACUUGCGCACAGACUCGAUCACCUCUUCUAAUUUUGUUGGGAAGCGAGAAAGUCGUUUUAGCAUUACAUGAUCUGUCCAAUCUACUUCUCUUUGUUUCUUACAAGCAAAACUCCAUGCUUUUUCAGGGAUCUAUUCUUGCAAUUAUGCUCACCCAACGAUCCAAUAGGAUUUGUGUAUCUUAGAAGCCCAACCUAUACUCUGUUGUGAUGCAAUUUUUUGAUAGGACUGUUUGUAGACAUGGAGCGUAUAUAUGCACCCUAGCAGUAUUUGCUGGAAGCAACACCAGAAAAAUUAUGGUCAACUAAACCUCUUGGUAAAGACUAGCAGCAAAGCUGUUCACCUCCUCGACACUAUACAAAUUCAUUGUCAGGCGCUCCCCCGCCCAUUCAGUACGAAAAAUUAGUUAUGUACAUUUACAAUUCUCUGUUUCAGAUAAUUUUUACUUAUAUAUUUUAUCUAUAAUCCCCUUCCCUGAUUGAGGCAUCUGGAGUCCAGUGGGUUCUGUCAAAGAAAAUGGCGAUUCAUUUGUGCAGGUCUGACAAGGCAAGGAGUCCAGUGGGUUCUGUCAAAGAAAAUGUCGAUUCAUUCAGCGACAAACAUAAUAUCUAUAAUGUUUGAGGUGACCCUCCUAGGGACAGAAAGUUAUCGUCUCAAGCCCACCACUCGGUGGAACUUUUAUGGGCAGCCUUAAGCUUCGUAAAGAGCACAUCUCUUUACUCACCAAUUAUAUACAGAAAUUAUGGACAAUCACAAGAUUUUCACCGUGUGCAUGACACAUACGUUUUCCCGUGAAUCCAUCUCUUCUCCCCUAUACAUUUAUUCACAUAUUACUAUAUUAGAUCAUAAAUCAAUUUGAUUAUCACAAUAUAUAUUGGUCUGCAAAUCUAGAUUCUGCAGAACUUCUAUAUGUGGUGAGAAAUAGACAUAUCUCUUUUACAUAUUUUUUCUAAACCCUGUUGGGAUACAUAACAGGUUUUCCUGUGGAUGAGCAAAUUGCAGGAGAUACUGAACAUAAUUCCUGACUUGCGAACGACAAUUUUUAUGCCUUAUCUCCACCUCAUAGACGAUAGAUGUACCUUCUAUCUACAGAGAUUGUGAACUGAAAACUACUGUGCAGUGCUAAUCCUAGGUAAAGAUGUAAAUUUAGUGUGCCAGCAAUGGUUGAUACAGUUAUUCUUCAUUCACAAGUACGUGCCAUUUAAUCUUAAUUAAAUAUCAACUAAUAUCUCUUUCUACUGUUUCUUUUGAUUCUUUUAAUGUGCGUGUGUGGAUUUUAGAUGGGAAUUUAUCGGCGAGGGCCAGUCAACGGACAAAACAACGACACUACUAUAUAACUACCAAGAAUGCAUCUGUGUUGACUCUGAUCAUGACCCUAAUGUUGGGAAGCUAAUGGAGACUUCUACACAUGUUGUUCCGUUCCUGAGAGCAACAAAGAAGAUAUGAUAGUCAUGGCUUCUACUGUAUCACCCGGACUUAGUAUUCACACAUGUAUUUCCCAGUGUGUUGUACAAUUAACGUAUCAUGUUUGUUAGUAGUUCUAACAUGUUAGACUUAGAUGAACUUCAUUUGUACCUAAUAUUCUCUUUGGCACUUAAUUCACAUCACUCUUUAAGUUC
Molecule: long non-coding RNA, 2200 nt
Organism: Triticum aestivum (bread wheat)
Lineage: Eukaryota; Viridiplantae; Streptophyta; Magnoliopsida; Poales; Poaceae
Exons: 2
Source: RefSeq, a predicted model, not a curated record